Molecule: ribosomal RNA, 682 nt
Filed under: uncultured bacterium
Lineage: Bacteria
Description: bacterial SSU rRNA
Rfam family: Bacterial small subunit ribosomal RNA
Source: RNAcentral
GAGUUUGAUCCUGGCUCAGGAUGAACGCUGGCGGCGUGCCUAACACAUGCAAGUCGAACGGGGUAUAUAAGCGGAAGUUUACGGAUGGAAGGUUAUAUACUUAGUGGCGGACGGGUGAGUAACGCGUGGGCAACCUGCCCCGUGCCGGGGGAUACCGCCUGGAAACAGGCGCUAAUACCGCAUAAGCGCAUACAGCCGCAUGGGUGUAUGCGGAAAGCUCCGGCGGCACGGGAUGGGCCCGCGCCCGAUUAGCCAGUUGGCGGGGUAACGGCCCACCAAAGCGACGAUCGGUAGCCGGCCUGAGAGGGCGGACGGCCACAUUGGGACUGAGACACGGCCCAAACUCCUACGGGAGGCAGCAGUGGGGAAUAUUGCACAAUGGGGGAAACCCUGAUGCAGCAACGCCGCGUGGGUGAAGGAGCGUUUCGGCGCGUAAAGCCCUGUCAGCGGGGAAGAAGAAAGACGGUACCCGACCAAGAAGCCCCGGCUAACUACGUGCCAGCAGCCGCGGUAAUACGUAGGGGGCGAGCGUUAUCCGGAAUUACUGGGUGUAAAGGGAGCGUAGACGGCGAGGUAAGCCUGAAGUGGAAGCCCGCGGCCCAACCGCGGAACUGCUUUGGGAACUGUUUUGCUGGAGUAUGGGAGGGGUAAGCGGAAUUCCUGGUGUAGCGGUGAAAUGCGU